GGCGAGCAAAGUGGGUGAACGGAUCUCAAUUCUAUAUGCUCCUUGUAGAGCCAUUAGAUAUUGCCGAGUAUUAUCGUACAGGAAUGCACCGUAAGAAGGGUCAUUACAUUAGCAAUGGAAGAGAGCGGAGGUACAAGAUUUUUGAAAGGUGGUGGAAAGAGAGACCAAUUAAAGAGGAAGAGAAGAAAACAAGAAGCACGUUCGCAAGUUCCACCCAAGACACAUGUUUUUGGGCCAGAGUGGAGGAAGCUAGAGAGCGGCUAGACAAUGUGAGAAACGAGACAGAUCCGAGAAAUCAGGCUCUGCUGUUGUCUUCCCUUGAUGACUUUUCAAAGUAUGCGAGUGGAUUAGUGGAAAGAAAAGAGGUGUCUAAGGAUGUAGUAGCAAGGAAUUCAAGCUAUUGUAUGUGGGUGAGAGAUUAUGAGGAAUUAAAAUCACAGUAUGUGCAAUUGCAUCCCUAGUUUCCAAGUUUUGUGGAUAGGGAAGUUGUUCUUUUAUCUCU
RNAcentral lists this unclassified non-coding RNA (502 nucleotides) under Hevea brasiliensis (rubber tree). The record is from RNAcentral. Lineage: Eukaryota; Viridiplantae; Streptophyta; Magnoliopsida; Malpighiales; Euphorbiaceae.